This 1998-nucleotide long non-coding RNA is filed under the name Oryctolagus cuniculus (rabbit). RNAcentral's name for it is "lncRNA (ENSOCUG00000031064.1)". Lineage: Eukaryota; Metazoa; Chordata; Mammalia; Lagomorpha; Leporidae. The record is from RNAcentral.
GCACUCAAGGCGCGUGGGCCUGUGUCCCGCCUGCAGGGGACACUGUACACUGGGGCUUGCUCCCCAACAGCCGGCCGGGGUCUGUUUGACAGCCUCUUCUCUUCUCCGAGCGCUUCACGCCUUCCUGACGCCUGCUACUUCCCGGGCACUCUGACUGGUGCACUCCUGGGCGGGAGCUUCCUGCUGCUGGGUCUACACCCGCGAGGGUUCCAGCUCCCUCCUGCCGAGCCAGCCGCAUUCCUCAGGAGAGCUUUCUGCAAAUCAGCCCACGCUAAGUGUCCAGACGACAAGAACCUGCCCAGCCAUCCCCGCGAACAUCUGUGGCGAGCCCGCAGGAGAAGAGGACCAGCGGCCAGUGCCGAGCAACCUGGCCCUGAGGGGCGCUCCACGCCAGCCCGCCUCUCCCUUCCUUGUCUUUGUGCUCGGCGGCAGCCAGAGCCUCCGUGCCGCUCCCAAGCAGGCACGGGUGGAGCAGUUAGGUGCUGCUGGGGUGCUCACUGCUAUAGAGCGCCCGUAACGGGUUCAAUGCCCUUCCCCACCAAUGUCAGGAAAGAAGGGGAAGUGCGGGGGCUGCAGCUGGCCACACAGGGCUCCCACCUGAGCCGGAGAGAGGCCCCAAUCCAUGAACCCUCUCCAAGCCGCUGGCCACUUUCGCCCUCUCUGCAGCUUAUGGGAUCUCGACCGCAGGAGUCUCCGAUUCUCUGCUGCUUUGUUCAUGCCGCAUCUCCCUGCCCUAGCAAUGGGCUCAGACGCCGAGAACCAAGGUUUCUUCUGUGCUGCUGCAACUGACUUAGGUAAUAAGUUUCCAUGAAUCUUGAAGAUUUUGUGUUUUCCCGUUGCUGGUUCUGAGCCUUGAAUGGGAAACUGAGUCAGUCUGUCUGUCUGUCUCUCUCUCUCUCUCUCUCUCCCUCCCUCUCUCCCUCUCUUUCUCCCUCCCUCCCUCCCUCCCUCCCUCUCCCCACUUCUUUUCUUUCAAAAGGCAGAGUUACAGAGAGGCAGAGACAGAAAGAGAGAGAGAGAGAGAGAGAGAGAGGUCUUCCAUCCACUGGUUCACUCCACAGAUGGCUGCAACAGCCAUAGCUGAGCCAAUCUGGACCAGGAGCCAGGAGCUUCUUCCAGGUCUCCCACACAGGUGCAGGGGCCCAAGGUCCUUGGCCAUCUUCUACUGCUUUCCCAGGCCAUAGCAGAGAGCUGGAUGGGAAGUGGAGCAGCCGAGACUUGAACCAGUGCCCAUAUGAGAUGCCGGCACUGCAGGUGGCGGCUCCACCGGCCAUACCACAUGGCAGCCCGGGAAACUGAGUCUUAGAGGAGUUUGCAUUAUCUGCCUAUUUUGACUUCUGCCUGUUGAGUGAUUUCCUUAAUCCUGGCCCGCAGCUUUGGUUAAAAUGCUCAGGUUAAAUGUAUGAUUUUAUUUUGACCAGAUGGUUUGACCUCCUGACAAUCCUUUAAAGUUCUAAACUGAAUCUUCUGACUUUGGGGCUUCCAGGUAGAUCCCUGGAAUCUCACCAUUAUCUGAAUUAAUUUUAAGGUCAAAAUUACAUUUCCAUGUUUUUAAUAACUGGUAAGGGUAAGAGUAAUACCUCCUUAGCAGCAAACACAAGCAUUAGUGUAUGUUAGCAACUUUGAAAAUACCUUCAUCCACUUAAAAAAAUAAGUUUAGGGUCUGGUGCUGUGGCAUAGCAGUAAAGCCACCACCUGCAGUGCCAGAAUCCCAUAUGGGCGCCGGUUCAAGUCCUGGCUGCUCCUCUUCCAAACCAGCUCUCUGCUAUGGCCUGGGAGAGCAGUGGAAGAUGGCCUGAGUCCUUGGGCCCUGCACCUUCAUGGGAGAGCCGGAAGAAACUCCUGGCUCCUGAAUUUGGGUCGGCGCAGCUCUGGCCAUUGCGGCCAUUUGGGGAGUGAACCGGUGCAUGGAAGACCUCUCUCUCCCUCUCUCCCCCUCUCUCUAACUCUACCUCUCAAACAAAUAAAUAAAAUCUUAAAUUAAAAAAAAAGAAAAGA